This 159-nucleotide small nuclear RNA is filed under the name Oryzias javanicus (javanese ricefish). Its description in RNAcentral is "U1 spliceosomal RNA (ENSOJAG00000015733.1)". It matches the Rfam family "U1 spliceosomal RNA". Rfam says of the family: U1 is a small nuclear RNA (snRNA) component of the spliceosome (involved in pre-mRNA splicing). Its 5' end forms complementary base pairs with the 5' splice junction, thus defining the 5' donor site of an intron. Lineage: Eukaryota; Metazoa; Chordata; Actinopteri; Beloniformes; Adrianichthyidae. The record is from RNAcentral.
AUACUUACCUGGCAGGGGUGACACCAUGAUCAAGCAGGUGGUUUGCCUAAGGUGAGGCUCUGUCAUUGCACUCUGACCGUGCUGACCCUUGUGAAUGGCGAUGAGCCGUACAGUAGUGCAAUUAAGGAAAGAAAUGAUUGGUUAGAAUUCUAUCAUGUU